Molecule: ribosomal RNA, 525 nt
Filed under: Lactiplantibacillus plantarum
Lineage: Bacteria; Bacillati; Bacillota; Bacilli; Lactobacillales; Lactobacillaceae
Description: bacterial SSU rRNA
Rfam family: Bacterial small subunit ribosomal RNA
Source: RNAcentral
GGUAUUGAUUGGUGCUUGCAUCAUGAUUUACAUUUGAGUGAGUGGCGAACUGGUGAGUAACACGUGGGAAACCUGCCCAGAAGCGGGGGAUAACACCUGGAAACAGAUGCUAAUACCGCAUAACAACUUGGACCGCAUGGUCCGAGUUUGAAAGAUGGCUUCGGCUAUCACUUCUGGAUGGUCCCGCGGCGUAUUAGCUAGAUGGUGAGGUAACGGCUCACCAUGGCAAUGAUACGUAGCCGACCUGAGAGGGUAAUCGGCCACAUUGGGACUGAGACACGGCCCAAACUCCUACGGGAGGCAGCAGUAGGGAAUCUUCCACAAUGGACGAAAGUCUGAUGGAGCAACGCCGCGUGAGUGAAGAAGGGUUUCGGCUCGUAAAACUCUGUUGUUAAAGAAGAACAUAUCUGAGAGUAACUGUUCAGGUAUUGACGGUAUUUAACCAGAAAGCCACGGCUAACUACGUGCCAGCAGCCGCGGUAAUACGUAGGUGGCAAGCGUUGUCCGGAUUUAUUGGGCGUAAAG